CCGUACGCUUUCAAGUAUCUACCCAAAUUAUCAAAAGCAUAUUUUAUUUUAACUUUGGAGGAAAAAACAAUUGGAUGGAAGUUUUAUUACUUUCUUAAAUCGAUAUUUCAAAUGCAACAUUUUCGAUAUGUACUUUUAUGUAACCUACAUAACUGCGAUGUUCCACUUUGAGUAUGAUCUAGCAAUUUAAAUCCAAAACAAUCGAAUUAUUGAGAUUUAAUUUUAUGAAAUAGGACUACAAUUUCAAUAUUUGUAACCAAAGCAUGAAUAAUCUUGAAAUAUAUUUAAUUAGUGGUCAAAUAAUAGAAUGUGAAAAUUUCAUUAAAUGAAAUACGCACGAAUUGUGGCAUAUUUUAUGUAGAGAAGCGUUAAAUGCAUGGUAGCCUAAAUGUUUGAUCGUCCGAUGUCUUGUUUUAUAUAGCUAUAUACAUAGGGAUUCUUUUUUUUCCUGAAAUUAAUAAAAGCAAAUGAAACUAGGAGCAUUUUCAAUAACAAUAUUUUUUAAAUAGACGGUUAUGAUAUGUAUUGCAUAGGCUGUGACAGCAACUAAGGUGUCAGGUCAGUUAAAAAAUACAUUAUAUUACGCAAAAUUAUUCCCACAAUUAUAUUGUAAAUGGGCUAUAUCUGUUAUUUUCAUUGUCCUCUACAAGUGCGUUGAAGACACACACGCACACACUCAGACUUCCGAAAUACCUGCAUUUACAGAAUGUGUCUUUUAUAUCUGGGUGGUGGGGGUUCAGCUUCAUUAACGGGUAGCAUACAGUAGGGCAGUGGUAGUUAACUAGAUAAAGCUGCAGACAUUUUUUUUUAAUUGAUGAUUUGGGAUCUAGAACAACUCAAAAUGAAUUUGUUAUCUACAUUUUACUAUCAGACCACAUACCGUUUUGCCACGUGUCUUCCACAUACCAUAUGGCCAAGCAUACGGGAACCCCUGGGAAAUAGGUGACAUGUUAACAAUUUCUCGCAUUCUGGCCGUAGAACUCUGUAAUUCCUUCAGAGUUAACAUUACUCUUGGUGGCUUCUCCCACCAUGGAUCUCCUUCAGUAGCUCCUUUUUCGAUGGACGGAGUGCUCUAAGCAGAGUCGUGGAGUUCAAACCAAGAAUGAGAGUGCUGGAGUGCUGCAGACAAUGCCAAGAGUGUGCAAUGCUGUCAUCAAGGGAAAGGGUCACUACUUUGAAAAAUCUAAACUAUAAAGAACGCUGUAGUCUCCAACCUUGGAUCUCCUUGUUCAGAAGCUCAGAUUAGAUGUCAUGCUCUUAGCAGAAUGGAGGACAUGAGCCUUUGGACCACGCCCUAGGACUACCAGGCCCAAAUGACUCUGAGCUGCCUCUCUCCCUCUCUCUGAAGUCCUCCUAGAUGUGUUGCUGUUUAUUUCCCGACGGCCCAUCUCAUUAUACCCACUUGUGCAGCAGACUUAGGUUCUAAGGACUCUGGUCACAGCCCUCUUGCCUGUAUUCAUAUGCUUGUAUUCUGAUCAUAUAACAGUGAGCACAGCCAGAAGAGGCCUAGCCACCACUCAGAGUAUUGGUCCUCCUAAUUUUGACUCUACUAGUGAGUUUUUCCAAGUGACAACUUCUGAUGUAAAAUGGGCUUUAUUAAAUACAUUUGAUUGAUUUA
Esox lucius (northern pike) is the source of this 1618-nucleotide long non-coding RNA. RefSeq lists it as uncharacterized. The record is from RefSeq and is a predicted model, not a curated record. The transcript is spliced from 4 exons. NCBI's taxonomy places the organism in Eukaryota, Metazoa, Chordata, Actinopteri, Esociformes, Esocidae.